UACAGAGGGUGCAAGCGUUAAUCGGAAUUACUGGGCGUAAAGCGUGCGUAGUCGGUUAUCUAAGUCAGGUGUGAAAUCCCCGGGCUCAACCUGGGAACUGCAUUUGUGACUGCACAGCUGGAGUGCGGCAGAGGGGGAUGGAAUUCCGCGUGUAGCAGUGAAAUGCGUAGAUAUGCGGAGGAACACCGAUGGCGAAGGCAAUCCCCUGGGCCUGCACUGACGCUCAUGCACGAAAGCGUGGGGAGCAAACAGG
RNAcentral lists this ribosomal RNA (253 nucleotides) under uncultured bacterium. Its description in RNAcentral is "partial 16S ribosomal RNA". It matches the Rfam family "Bacterial small subunit ribosomal RNA", at positions 524 to 776 of the family's 1533-position model. The record is from RNAcentral.